RNAcentral lists this ribosomal RNA (497 nucleotides) under uncultured bacterium. RNAcentral's name for it is "partial 16S ribosomal RNA". It matches the Rfam family "Bacterial small subunit ribosomal RNA", at positions 28 to 507 of the family's 1533-position model. The record is from RNAcentral.
GAUGAACGCUGGCGGCGUGCCUAAUACAUGCAAGUCGAGCGAACAGACGAGGAGCUUGCUCCUCUGACGUUAGCGGCGGACGGGUGAGUAACACGUGGAUAACCUACCUAUAAGACUGGGAUAACUUCGGGAAACCGGAGCUAAUACCGGAUAAUAUAUUGAACCGCAUGGUGCAAUAGUGAAAGACGGUUUUGCUGUCACUUAUAGAUGGAUCCGCGCCGCAUUAGCUAGUUGGUAAGGUAACGGCUUACGAAGGCAACGAUGCGUAGCCGAACUGAGAGGGUGAUCGCCGACACUGGAAGUGAGACGCGGACCAGACGACUACGAGAGGCAGCAGUAGGGAAUCUUCCGCAAUAGGCGAAAGCCUGACAGAACAACGCCGCGUGAGAGAUGAAGGUCUUCGGAGCGUAAAACUCGGUUAUGAGGGAAGAACAGAUGUGUAAGUAACUAUGCACGUCGUGACGGUACCUAGUCAGAAAGCCACGGCUAACUACGUG